UAUGAAGAACGUAGUGAAACGCGAUAUUUCUUGUGAAUUGCAGAAGUGAAUCAUCAGUUUUUGAACGCACAUUGCACUUUGGGGUAUCCCCCAAAGUAUACUUGUUUGAGCGUUGUUUCUCUCUUGGAAUUGCUUUGCUCUUCUAAAAUUUCGAAUCAAAUUCGUUUGAAAAACAACACUAUUCAACCUCAGAUCAAGUAGGAUUACCCGCUGAACUUAAGCAUAUCAAUAAGCGGAGGA
This 240-nucleotide unclassified non-coding RNA is filed under the name soil metagenome. Its description in RNAcentral is "partial contains 5.8S ribosomal RNA, internal transcribed spacer 2, and large subunit ribosomal RNA". The stretch from base 2 to 115 matches the Rfam family "5.8S ribosomal RNA", at positions 36 to 154 of the family's 154-position model. The record is from RNAcentral.